AAAAUCCUCGAACACGACUUCCAUACUUGGCAGCCCGAUAAUGAUGUUGUGAUUUUCUCGUACAACUCUCCAUUCUCCAUCUAUAAAAGGCUGCUCACCCUCCAUCAUAAAGGAGUAAUUGCUCUCUCUCUCUCAUCCAGUUAUAACCUCAUUAUUUUACUAUGCUCUGUCUAGCUUAUCCAUCUUGGUCUCAUCUCCACACUAGAGGGGUUUGUAGC
This 218-nucleotide long non-coding RNA is filed under the name Actinidia chinensis (golden kiwifruit). RNAcentral's name for it is "long non-coding RNA (ACHI_LNC004851)". Lineage: Eukaryota; Viridiplantae; Streptophyta; Magnoliopsida; Ericales; Actinidiaceae. The record is from RNAcentral.